AACAUAGAUAAACAUUUAGAGUCUCUAAAUUUUGUUUUACCGUGGAAUUUUCACUUAUGUAAGCUUCAAAGGUAGCAUUUGAUAGAGAAUGAAAUUCCUUGAUAGAUUUUAGUUUUCAUCUUCAAUAUAAGAUCUUAUAGUGGAUGCAACACAUAUGAGGAGAAUAUAUGCAUUAGAAACCUUGAUUGCUCAAAUGAAUAAAGCGAUUCUUUUCUGU
RNAcentral lists this unclassified non-coding RNA (217 nucleotides) under Hevea brasiliensis (rubber tree). The record is from RNAcentral. Lineage: Eukaryota; Viridiplantae; Streptophyta; Magnoliopsida; Malpighiales; Euphorbiaceae.